UACGAAGGGUGCAAGCGUUAAUCGGAAUUACUGGGCGUAAAGCGCGCGUAGGUGGUUCAGCAAGUUGAAGGUGAAAUCCCCGGGCUCAACCUGGGAACUGCCUCCAAAACUACUGAGCUAGAGUACGGUAGAGGGUAGUGGAAUUUCCGGUGUAGCGGUGAAAUGCGUAGAUAUCGGAAGGAACAUCAGUGGCGAAAGCGACUGCCUGGCCCAAUACUGACACUCAUGUGCGAAAGCGUGGGGAGCAAACAGG
RNAcentral lists this ribosomal RNA (253 nucleotides) under uncultured bacterium. Its description in RNAcentral is "partial 16S ribosomal RNA". It matches the Rfam family "Bacterial small subunit ribosomal RNA", at positions 524 to 776 of the family's 1533-position model. The record is from RNAcentral.